This 497-nucleotide ribosomal RNA is filed under the name uncultured bacterium. RNAcentral's name for it is "partial 16S ribosomal RNA". It matches the Rfam family "Bacterial small subunit ribosomal RNA", at positions 28 to 507 of the family's 1533-position model. The record is from RNAcentral.
GACGAACGCUGGCGGCGUGCCUAAUACAUGCAAGUAGAACGCUGAAGCUUGGUGCUUGCCCCGAGCGGAUGAGUUGCGAACGGGUGAGUAACGCGUAGGUAACCUGCCUGGUAGCGGGGGAUAACUAUUGGAAACGAUAGCUAAUACCGCAUAACAGUAGAUAUCGCAUGAUAGCUACUUGAAAGGUGCAAAUGCACCACUACCAGAUGAACCUGCGUUGUAUUAGCUAGUUGGUGAGGUAACGGCUCACCAAGGCAACGAUACAUAGCCGACCUGAGAGGGUGAUCGGCCACACUGGGACUGAGACACGGCCCAGACUCCUACGGGAGGCAGCAGUAGGGAAUCUUCGGCAAUGGACGGAAGUCUGACCGAGCAACGCCGCGUGAGUGAAGAAGGUUUUCGGAUCGUAAAGCUCUGUUGUAAGAGAAGAACGAGUGUGAGAGUGGAAAGUUCACACUGUGACGGUAUCUUACCAGAAAGGGACGGCUAACUACGUG